Ornithorhynchus anatinus (platypus) is the source of this 712-nucleotide long non-coding RNA. RefSeq lists it as uncharacterized. The record is from RefSeq and is a predicted model, not a curated record. The transcript has 2 exons. Lineage: Eukaryota; Metazoa; Chordata; Mammalia; Monotremata; Ornithorhynchidae.
CCCCCCCAAACUCAGUCGUCCCUCGUCCUGUUUCCUCCCAGUGAAACCGGAGUAGAGGGAGAUCAGAGUCUCCAGGCUAACCCGUGUCUCGCGCCGCUCGGGGUGAAAAGGGCGGAAUAACGAGGGGGAGGGGGGCGCACCUCCUUCUCCUUUUGAUUUUCGUUUGCUCCAAAACCUUCGGAAGUGGGAUGGUGGAAUUGCGUGGUUGGGACCUUUCCAGGGUGGUGGGGGGAGGGAAGGAGAGAGAGGCGAGGGACAGAAAGUGUAGACACGAACACCCCGUCACCUGCGUGUCCACGCACCCCUCCCCACUAUUGUGCGUCACAAUGUACUGUGCUACGUAGGAAAUCCUGGCGCACGUGGAUUCGGGGCCGGUAGCCUGUGUCCACCGGACAGGAGAGGCUUGGGAAAGCAGGGGAUAGGCGCCCAGGGAGAGUCACCUCGAAUUGGAGGAGGGUUUAGGGGGACACGGUGACUCUAGGCUCGGGAGGCUGGACCCAGCAGCCGCUAAAUCAACUCCUCUCUCUUCCCUCCCCUGGACUCCAUCACCCACUCAACCAACACUUAGGAAGCAGAACACCUGGCUCCCGGAGGAGGGAAAGCGGAAGAGGGUCUUUAACCCAGGGAAAGAGGAAGCAACCAAUCAGGCAUGCGCUUGAUGGAAUCACAUGUUCCUUCCUGGCCAAUCCCAAUAAAGUCCUUGUUCAUCUUC